Molecule: ribosomal RNA, 387 nt
Filed under: Thalassiosira sp.
Lineage: Eukaryota; Bacillariophyta; Thalassiosirophyceae; Thalassiosirales; Thalassiosiraceae
Description: partial small subunit ribosomal RNA
Rfam family: Eukaryotic small subunit ribosomal RNA
Source: RNAcentral
AGCUCCAAUAGCGUAUAUUAAAGUUGUUGCAGUUAAAAAGCUCGUAGUUGGAUUUCUGGCAGGAGCGGCCGGCCACGCGCUCUGCGCGUGAGUUUGUGCUGUCUCUGGCCAUCCUCGGGGAGAUCGCGUUUGGCAUUAAGUUGUCGGGCGUGGGAUACCCGUCGUUUACUGUGAAAAAAUUAGAGUGUUUAAAGCAGGCUUAUGCCGUUGAAUAUAUUAGCAUGGAAUAAUAAGAUAGGACUUUGGAACUAUUUUGUUGGUUUGCGUUACGAAGUAAUGAUUAAUAGGGACAGUUGGGGGUAUUCGUAUUUCGUUGUCAGAGGUGAAAUUCUUGGAUUUCCGAAAGACGAACUACUGCGAAAGCAUUUACCAAGGAUGUUUUCAUUA